GAGUGUUGAUGCUGGGUUCAAGGUUCUACUGCUUAUCAUAUACAUACUCUAUAUUGCAGGUUAAGGAUCCUAUUCAGCAUUUAUAAUCUGUCUUGUAUUUUCUAAAGAUAAGUUCUGUUCAUGAUUCUUGCAUAUACAAGAUGGCAAAACCCUGCUACUUCAUAAGGAGUAUAAUGAUAGAUCUUGAUCCUUAAAGUUCAUUGCAUUUUUCUCCAUCCACAUAAACCAGAAAUUCGAGAAUAAUAUUGUGCCAAAGGGUCCCCUUCGAAAUCCUAUGAAACAAAUCGUAAAUUCUCUGAAGUCUACAGGAAAAUCCUUAUUCCCUAAAUGUUUUGAACUCCUUUUUCGAAAGAUGACAAUUAACAAAGCAUAGCAAAGAAAAGAUGGGCGUGAACUCUAGACCACUAAAGCAUAACAAAGGAAAAUCCUUAUUCCCUAAGUGAUAUAGCUUUCUGUGGUCUCUGCAUCGUCAACGAAUUUUUUGGUGUCAAUCCCAUUAAAAAUUGUAUGGAAAAAAGGUGUUAACUUAGGAGCAUGUGUGAGUUAUGAUGGAUAGCUAUUGCUAGGGAUCAUAUAAUUGCAUCGAUAAGCUUAAUUUGAAAGGAAAAAAUGACUAUAGCAAUAAUCAUGGCCAUUCUUUUUCUUUUUCACAUUUUUAAGUAUACAACUUAACUCAACUCAACUA
Molecule: unclassified non-coding RNA, 685 nt
Filed under: Hevea brasiliensis (rubber tree)
Lineage: Eukaryota; Viridiplantae; Streptophyta; Magnoliopsida; Malpighiales; Euphorbiaceae
Source: RNAcentral